Molecule: ribosomal RNA, 725 nt
Filed under: uncultured Pseudomonadota bacterium
Lineage: Bacteria; Pseudomonadati; Pseudomonadota
Description: bacterial SSU rRNA
Rfam family: Bacterial small subunit ribosomal RNA
Source: RNAcentral
GCUGGCGGCACGCCUAACACAUGCAAGUCGAACGAAGUAGCAAUACUUAGUGGCAGACGGGUGAGUAACAUGUAGGUAUCUGCCCUUUGGCCUGGAAUAACACGAGGAAACUUGUGCUAAUACCGGAUAAGUCUUUACGGAGAAAGCUUUAUGCACCAUUGGAUGAGCCUGCACUUGAUUAGUUUGUUGGUGGGGUAAUGGCCUACCAAGACUGUGAUCAAUAGCUGAUUUGAGAGGAUGAUCAGCCACAUUGGGACUGAGACACGGCCCAAACUCCUACGGGAGGCAGCAGUGGGGAAUCUUGCACAAUGGAGGAAACUCUGAUGCAGCGAUGCCGCGUGAGUGAAGAAGGCCCUUGGGUUGUAAAGCUCUUUCGUCGGGGAAGAAAAUGACUGUACCCGAAUAAGAAGGUCCGGCUAACUUCGUGCCAGCAGCCGCGGUAAUACGAAGGGACCUAGCGUAGUUCGGAAUUACUGGGCUUAAAGAGUUCGUAGGUGGUUGAAAAAGUUAGUGGUGAAAUCCCAGAGCUUAACUCUGGAACUGCCAUUAAAACUUUUCAGCUAGAGUAUGAUAGAGGAAAGCAGAAUUUCUAGUGUAGAGGUGAAAUUCGUAGAUAUUAGAAAGAAUACCAAUUGCGAAGGCAGCUUUCUGGAUCAUUACUGACACUGAGGAACGAAAGCAUGGGUAGCGAAGAGGAUUAGAUACCCUCGUAGUCCAUGCCGUAA